CCUCCGGAGCAUUAUAUCAAACGUAAGUAGCUUGUCCUUCGGGAGGGCAAAAACGGAUGCGAUGAACGAGGAA
The submitters of this non-coding RNA (73 nucleotides) gave its source as unclassified sequences. The record is from Rfam.